AUGAAGAACGCAGCGAAAUGCGAUAAGUAAUGUGAAUUGCAGAAUUCAGUGAAUCAUCGAAUCUUUGAACGCACAUUGCGCCCGCCAGUAUUCUGGCGGGCAUGCCUGUCCGAGCGUCAUUUCAACCAUCAAGCCCCGGGCUUGUGUUGGGGACCUGCGUCCGACGCAGGCCCCGAAAACCAGUGGCGGGCUCGCUGUCCACACCGAGCGUAGUAGCUAACCUCGCUCCGGAGUGGCGCGGGCGCCUGCCGUAAAACCCCCCAAUUUUACAAGGUUGACCUCGGAUCAGGUAGGAAUACCCGCUGAACUUAAGCAUAUCAAUAAGCGGAGGA
Molecule: unclassified non-coding RNA, 332 nt
Filed under: soil metagenome
Description: partial contains 5.8S ribosomal RNA, internal transcribed spacer 2, and large subunit ribosomal RNA
Rfam family: 5.8S ribosomal RNA (bases 1-119)
Source: RNAcentral